This 61-nucleotide transfer RNA is filed under the name Chiropterargas confusus. RNAcentral's name for it is "Argas confusus tRNA-Ala". Lineage: Eukaryota; Metazoa; Arthropoda; Arachnida; Ixodida; Argasidae. The record is from RNAcentral.
UAGAAUAGUAUUUAAUUAAUAAAAUCUAAUCUGCAUUUAGAAAUUGCUAUGCCUAUUCUAA